Molecule: ribosomal RNA, 497 nt
Filed under: uncultured bacterium
Lineage: Bacteria
Description: partial 16S ribosomal RNA
Rfam family: Bacterial small subunit ribosomal RNA
Source: RNAcentral
GAUGAACGCUGGCGGCGUGCCUAAUACAUGCAAGUAGAACGCUGAAGGAAGGAGCUUGCUCUUUCCGGGUGAGUUGCGAACGGGUGAGUAACGCGUAGGUAACCUGCCUGGUAGCGGGGGAUAACUAUUGGAAACGAUAGCUAAUACCGCAUAACAGUAGAUGUUGCAUGAUAUCUACUUAAAAGGUGCAAUUGCACCACUACCAGAUGGACCUGCGUUGUAUUAGGUAGUUGGUGAGGGAACGGCCCAACAAGGCGACGAAACCUAGCCGACCCGGGGGGGGGGUCCGCCACACCGGGACUGAGAAACCGCCCAGACUCCUACGGGAGGCAGCCGUAGGGAAUCCUCGGCAAUGGACGGAAGGCUGAACGAGCAACGCCGCGUGGGUGAAGAAGGUUUUCGGAUCGUAAAGAUCUGUUGUAAGGGAAGAAAGAGUGUGGGAGUGGAAAGUUCACACUGUGACGGUAUCUUACCAGAAAGGGACGGCUAACUACGUG